GGAGGGUGGGUUUGGGGCAGGACAGCCGGGGUGAGGGUAUGGCUGAGUGGAUGGAGCAGCCUUAGUCGCCGGGAGCGGCUCAGCUACAGGCGAUAACCCCAGGAGGUGGUAGGUGUCUGCUUGUGCUAGCUCUUGUGCAACUGGCCUGGCCAAAUGGGUGCGUUUCAGGCUGUCUGCUCUUGGCCAAACUGUAUCUGGUUUAUGGCCAAGGGAGGAAAACAAAACAAAACAAAAAUCUCAUGGACCAAGCACAUGGCCUCCCAAGCUGUGGUGGGUUUUGAACUUGGUAGGUUGUUGAGCCUUUGUGUGCUUUGGUAUCUCCAUCUAUGAACUCGAGAUAACAGUUGGCUUCAUGCAGGGAUUAAUUAUCGCGUCUUGUAGUCACGUAUUUGUUUAUUUGUUUUUACUGUAGAUUACAGCUGGAGGAAUUCUAAACAGUCCACCUCUCCUUGUCAUGGUGUUUAAGCGCAUUGUGCUGCUGUCUGAACAGAGGAAAUCACUGAGGAAAAGUAAGACAAAUGUGGAUCGCUUCAAGCAUAUGUUGUUGCUCAGAGAAGCGCCAGUGGUGCUGCGAGGGCAGGGCAGAGGCGAGCAGGCAGAGGCAGAGAGAUGACCUUCCCUUUCGGGAGCGGCUAGCCCUUACGUCAGGUUUGCUGCCUCACAAAACUCUGACCUACGGUUAUUUUUGAUGCUGGGCUGCCUUAAUUUUCUGGAGACUGAAUGAAGGAUUAAAGUAGUGUGCUUAUGGCAUUUGGAAAUUAAGUUUUUAGGGGGAAAAAAAAAAAAGAAAUCUUAAUUCAGCGUGUGCUAUUAGAUGGAAAUGCUUAAAUUGUUAGGGAUGGGACAGAUACGUGUCCACGGUAUUCAUUCCUACAAUUCAGUUAGGGGUUAAAUCCUUUUUUCUUUUUAUUAUUUUUCUGCUUUUUAAGACCUCUAACCCAAAGUCUACUAUCUAAAGUCUCUAGAGAGAGAAGUCUUCAAAGACACGGGCUUUGUAGCUAUAAAUAAUGUACACAGCAGAGUACAAAAAUGGAGUCAAGGAGAAGCUCCACCUUACCUGAGCGUAAUUGCGAAGGCCGGUAUUGAGAGCCGCGGGAGGAUAGCUGUACCCCGGUCGCGCAAAAGGCUGCAAGGAGCGCUGUCACCCCUGUCAUCCAUCUUGACUAAACACCUUCUGAGAUCUGAGUCUUCCUCCAACGCUUGGAUAUCAACUGGUAAAUCAUGACUGCAUUGUACUGAAAUACGUUGGAUUUCAGGGGCCAAAUGUGGCGAGGUUUUGAAUAGCGUGGCUAUAGACGUACCUGGAACUAAACAUCUGCUUGAGCGCUUUGUUAGGUUGGAUGUGUUAGAAUAUAGAGAAGUUUGCAAGUCUGAACCCUUGCUAUGAAUGAAAACACUGUGGUAAAAAAAUGUAAAUAAAUGCCGCACAUACUUUGUGUAAGAGCCCUUCGCAAUAUCUAUAAAUAUGGUAAUUUUGCUGUUUCCCAAUGUUGAGCUUUAAAUAGGAGACAGACACAAGAAAUAUUACAAAGCCAGCAUUUUUCUUUUCAUGUAUUAAUUUCAUAGUUUCGGUUUUAACUUGCCUGAAAACACUUAAUGGAAAUUAGUGUCUUAAAGAAGAUUGCCUUUGAAAGGAAAUUAUUUGUUCUUAAAAAAAAAAAAAAAAAAAUCAUUGGAAUAGCUUCCUGGUUUAACUGAAUUUUCAUAUGAAUUCAAAACUCAUCUCGGGUCAGACUCUCCAGGAAAACUUUCCCGUGUGUUCUGUAGCAGUCGAUUCAUUCCUCGCCACCUUCAUUUUGCAGCUUUAAAUGGCAGGUUCUCUGAAAAGCCAUCUACUUCAAAGCUUUAUAAAAUAAAGCUUUGGAUAAAUUACUGAGCUAGAAAUUAUGCUGGCUGUACCCAGCUCUGUGCCUGGAUGUGGGAAUACUUGGCACUGGGUGUGGAAUUCCAAGGAAAAUUACCUCUUUCCUUUCCAUGAGACCCUGUUGGCUUGGCAAACUCCGAGAGCAGCAACAAUGAAAACCGCUGCAGAUGAGCAGGCACGGAAGACUCCGGUUCCCCUUUUCCACAGCUCCGGAAAACACAUCCCGAACAACUGUUGAAUAUUAAUACGCGGCGUAACUGGUGCAACAAUGUGCUAAAGAUGGGAUUAAUACGCAGCCUGGCUUCUGAAGACUACACGUCCCAGCGUGGCAGGUAGGAGACACCAGGCCACGGAGCAGCACUGCAUGCUGGAACUUGUAGUACCUCUAAAAUGCAUCCUCGCACGACGCGGGGUGUGCGGGCAGUUACCCGCCUCACGACGUGGGGUGCCUGGGCUUCGGGUGUCCUACUGACGGUGAUGGGCCCCAGGCUGUAUUAUUUUGGACUUUUUAAAAUCUGUUUUUGCAAGCUUUAGAUGAUACAAUACUGACAACAGGACACUCCUAAGCAGCAAAAUCGUUGCUUUGUCUCUCACGAAGAGACAACCCACUGCCCUCUGUAUUUAGAUUUCUGGUCUAACGUGUCUGCGGAGCUGAUUUGUCCGUAAUUGUUUGUUUUCUUCAGAGUCUUUUUGAAGUUUAUGUCUCCGAGCCAAUUCCUUAUAUUAAAAAUAAAUUCUUCCAAGCCACCUAUAAAAUGUCAACUGUGAUUAAAGCCUGACUCCUCAUUUCAAGACUUGUCUCCGAAGCCAUGUGAGGUCACUCUAUGAGUCAGCAUUUGAGAGGACCGUUAUUCCUGAGAGCAUGGGUAAAGCCCAAAGUUCAGAUUUGCUUGCUUAAAUGGUUUCACUGCAUUUUAAACUGCUUUGCAUCGUGCUGAAAGAAAUGUAAACUGCAGGGUCAGUUUGGCACAGAACUCGUGAUAGUUCGGGCACCUCAAAUCUUGGAAAAAAAAUCCUUUAUAUUAUUGUAGAAGUUGGAUUUCUGUUAGGAAAAGUUUUACCUCCUAUGUACUGAAGAGGAGGGUGGAGUGGGAAGCUGUGCUUAAGGCAUAAACUUUCAAACUAUCUUCUGUUGAAAUAAAACUUGGGGAACUGUAAAAAUCUCCAGGCAAGGGCUUUGUCUUUUGUACAGUGCCCAGCAGAACAGAGCCGAAGUCUGAUAGAGCUUUCUGGACACGGGAACUUUAUUGUUUUCU
Chroicocephalus ridibundus (black-headed gull) is the source of this 3120-nucleotide long non-coding RNA. RefSeq lists it as uncharacterized. The record is from RefSeq and is a predicted model, not a curated record. Lineage: Eukaryota; Metazoa; Chordata; Aves; Charadriiformes; Laridae. The transcript has 3 exons.